This is a non-coding RNA of Lonchura striata (white-rumped munia), 298 nucleotides long. The record is from RefSeq and is a predicted model, not a curated record. Lineage: Eukaryota; Metazoa; Chordata; Aves; Passeriformes; Estrildidae.
GAGCGGUGAGAUGGCUGGUCUUAAUGGAAGCGUAAACUUCUGCAAUACGCUGGAAACUUCUGCUCCUUUGUUUUCCCUGUGAGGGGUGAUGAUGAACAUUAUGCAUGAGGAAGAACUGUAAAUGAUCUGUAACUGAAUCCUCACAAUCAAGAGCCCUGCUCAUCCAGCUGCAAAUUCAGCAGCCAUUCCCAGCGCCAGAGGGACCGAUAACAGAGAGACUACUCCCAGGAGAGACUUUCUGAAUUUGUCAUCUCUUCAGAGCGGUGAAAGAGUUUUGUCAUCUGAUGUUCAUUUUUUG